Molecule: ribosomal RNA, 490 nt
Filed under: uncultured bacterium
Lineage: Bacteria
Description: bacterial SSU rRNA
Rfam family: Bacterial small subunit ribosomal RNA
Source: RNAcentral
GAUGAACGCUGGCGGCGUGCUUAACACAUGCAAGUCGAACGGAGUUUUAUCAAUUGAUUGAUUAAGCUUGCUUUGAGAGAUUUUGAUAAAACUUAGUGGCGGACGGGUGAGUAACGCGUGGGUAACCUGCCGUAUACAGGGGGACAACAGUUGGAAACGACUGCUAAUACCGCAUAAGCGCACGGUACCGCAUGGUACAGUGUGAAAAACUCCGGUGGUAUACGAUGGACCCGCGUCUGAUUAGCUAGUUGGUGAGGUAACGGGCCCACCAAGGCGACGAUCAGUAGCCGGCCUGAGAGGGUGGACGGCCACAUUGGGACUGAGACACGGCCCAAACUCCUACGGGAGGCAGCAGUGGGGAAUAUUGCACAAUGGGGGAAACCCUGAUGCAGCGACGCCGCGUGAGUGAAGAAGUAUUUCGGUAUGUAAAGCUCUAUCAGCAGGGAAGAAAAUGACGGUACCUGACUAAGAAGCCCCGGCUAACUACGUG